RNAcentral lists this unclassified non-coding RNA (210 nucleotides) under Hevea brasiliensis (rubber tree). Lineage: Eukaryota; Viridiplantae; Streptophyta; Magnoliopsida; Malpighiales; Euphorbiaceae. The record is from RNAcentral.
GUAGCUUCUACAUGUUUGGAAUCUGCAUCUCUUUGACAUACCAAAACACAUUUAUUUCCUGCAUGGAUAUGGGAACCCGAACCUUCAAAAUACAAUCUAUAUGGAGGUGCAGCAGCAAAAGGUCCUUCAAUUGACCAAGUAGCAGAAAUUAGAGUCUGAGGCAGUUCUGGUUUAAAUCUCCAAGCUAUUUCCCAUGACCUCUCCUUCUUU